AUUGAACGCUGGCGGAAUGCUUUACACAUGCAAGUCGAACGGCAGCACGGACUUCGGUCUGGUGGCGAGUGGCGAACGGGUGAGUAAUGUAUCGGAACGUGCACCGUCGUGGGGGAUAACGAAGUGAAAAUUAAGCUAAUACCGCAUACGCUCUAUGGAUGAAGGCGGGGGAUCGCACGACCUAGCGCGAUUGGAGCGGCAGAUAUCAGAUUAGGUAGUUGGUGGGGUGAAGGCCCACCAAGCCAAGGAUCUGUAGCUGGUCUGAGAGGACGACCAGCCACACUGGAACUGAGACACGGUCCAGACUCCUACGGGAGGCAGCAGUGGGGAAUUUUGGACAAUGGGCGAAAGCCUGAUCCAGCCAUUCCGCGGGCAGGAUGAAGGCCCUCGGGUUGUAAACUGCUUUUGUACAUAACGAAAAGGUUUCUACUAAUACUAGGAGCUCAUGACGGUACUGUAAGAAUAAGCACCGGCUAACUACGUGCCAGCAGCCGCCGUAA
Molecule: ribosomal RNA, 500 nt
Filed under: uncultured bacterium
Lineage: Bacteria
Description: partial 16S ribosomal RNA
Rfam family: Bacterial small subunit ribosomal RNA
Source: RNAcentral